RNAcentral lists this ribosomal RNA (1481 nucleotides) under Lacticaseibacillus casei. RNAcentral describes it as "bacterial SSU rRNA". It matches the Rfam family "Bacterial small subunit ribosomal RNA". Lineage: Bacteria; Bacillati; Bacillota; Bacilli; Lactobacillales; Lactobacillaceae. The record is from RNAcentral.
GAACGCUGGCGGCGUGCCUAAUACAUGCAAGUCGAACGAGUUCUCGUUGAUGAUCGGUGCUUGCACCGAGAUUCAACAUGGAACGAGUGGCGGACGGGUGAGUAACACGUGGGUAACCUGCCCUUAAGUGGGGGAUAACAUUUGGAAACAGAUGCUAAUACCGCAUAGAUCCAAGAACCGCAUGGUUCUUGGCUGAAAGAUGGCGUAAGCUAUCGCUUUUGGAUGGACCCGCGGCGUAUUAGCUAGUUGGUGAGGUAAUGGCUCACCAAGGCGAUGAUACGUAGCCGAACUGAGAGGUUGAUCGGCCACAUUGGGACUGAGACACGGCCCAAACUCCUACGGGAGGCAGCAGUAGGGAAUCUUCCACAAUGGACGCAAGUCUGAUGGAGCAACGCCGCGUGAGUGAAGAAGGCUUUCGGGUCGUAAAACUCUGUUGUUGGAGAAGAAUGGUCGGCAGAGUAACUGUUGUCGGCGUGACGGUAUCCAACCAGAAAGCCACGGCUAACUACGUGCCAGCAGCCGCGGUAAUACGUAGGUGGCAAGCGUUAUCCGGAUUUAUUGGGCGUAAAGCGAGCGCAGGCGGUUUUUUAAGUCUGAUGUGAAAGCCCUCGGCUUAACCGAGGAAGCGCAUCGGAAACUGGGAAACUUGAGUGCAGAAGAGGACAGUGGAACUCCAUGUGUAGCGGUGAAAUGCGUAGAUAUAUGGAAGAACACCAGUGGCGAAGGCGGCUGUCUGGUCUGUAACUGACGCUGAGGCUCGAAAGCAUGGGUAGCGAACAGGAUUAGAUACCCUGGUAGUCCAUGCCGUAAACGAUGAAUGCUAGGUGUUGGAGGGUUUCCGCCCUUCAGUGCCGCAGCUAACGCAUUAAGCAUUCCGCCUGGGGAGUACGACCGCAAGGUUGAAACUCAAAGGAAUUGACGGGGGCCCGCACAAGCGGUGGAGCAUGUGGUUUAAUUCGAAGCAACGCGAAGAACCUUACCAGGUCUUGACAUCUUUUGAUCACCUGAGAGAUCAGGUUUCCCCUUCGGGGGCAAAAUGACAGGUGGUGCAUGGUUGUCGUCAGCUCGUGUCGUGAGAUGUUGGGUUAAGUCCCGCAACGAGCGCAACCCUUAUGACUAGUUGCCAGCAUUUAGUUGGGCACUCUAGUAAGACUGCCGGUGACAAACCGGAGGAAGGUGGGGAUGACGUCAAAUCAUCAUGCCCCUUAUGACCUGGGCUACACACGUGCUACAAUGGAUGGUACAACGAGUUGCGAGACCGCGAGGUCAAGCUAAUCUCUUAAAGCCAUUCUCAGUUCGGACUGUAGGCUGCAACUCGCCUACACGAAGUCGGAAUCGCUAGUAAUCGCGGAUCAGCACGCCGCGGUGAAUACGUUCCCGGGCCUUGUACACACCGCCCGUCACACCAUGAGAGUUUGUAACACCCGAAGCCGGUGGCGUAACCCUUUUAGGGAGCGAGCCGUCUAAGGUGGGACAAAUGA